CGGAGGGUGCAAGCGUUAUCCGGAUUCACUGGGUUUAAAGGGUGCGUAGGCGGGUAUGUAAGUCAGCGGUGAAAUCCCCGAGCUUAACUUGGGAACUGCCGUUGAUACUAUAUAUCUUGAAUGUCGUGGAGGUUAGCGGAAUAUGUCAUGUAGCGGUGAAAUGCUUAGAUAUGACAUAGAACACCCAUUGCGAAGGCAGCUAACUACGCGAAUAUUGACGCUGAGGCACGAAAGCGUGGGGGAUCAAACAGGAUUAGAUACCCUGGCAGUCCACGCCCUAAACGAUGAUUACUCGACAUUGGCGAUACACUGUCAGUGUCUGAGCGAAAGCAUUAAGUAAUCCACCUGGGAAGUACGACCGCAAGGUUG
This 369-nucleotide ribosomal RNA is filed under the name uncultured organism. RNAcentral describes it as "bacterial SSU rRNA". It matches the Rfam family "Bacterial small subunit ribosomal RNA", at positions 526 to 896 of the family's 1533-position model. The record is from RNAcentral.